ACACACACACACAUGCACAUUUUGAAAAUUGGAGACAUAAUUUUGAAUUUGAUUUUUUUAAGUGUAUGCAGGCGGUCAUGGGCCAAUGUAAGUGUUUAAUUGCAACCCUCUGUUGUUCCGUGUGCAAAGCCACCCUUUUAAUGUGCUAUCAUUUAAUGCUAUCUGUUUCAUAGGAGAACUUCAAUGUGGAGUUAGCAAACAUUUACCUUAGACAUGGAUGCUGGCUUUAUGAUGUGGUGUUGGCAGUCUGACCUUCAGGACUUCAUUUCAGCACAGCAUUGUCUGGGGAGACUGGCUGGCCUGGGAGGGGCCUGUGCCAUUGCCUCUGGCCUUCUAAAGUUGUUUGCCAGGUCUGGUAAGAAGCAGAGAGUAACCCUUUCCAGCUCUGUCUUCCUGAGUUCACUGGGAAACUCAACGGAUCCUCCAGGAACCCGAGUCAGACUUACGGACUGGGUUUUCUAUAUAGGAUUUCCUGCUAAGCCGGUUCAGGGGAUUUCUGGUCUUUUUUCCUUGCUUCGGUCAUUUAUUAUGUUUUACUAACCCAUGUCCCUUAGACAAGAAUAGUAACCAUGCAUACUGUCGUGAGUUAGACUGAGUCCCUUUACCCCACCGGGCUACAGUGAACAUCAUGAAGCAGGACUGGGAAACUUGGAAUGAAACCCAAGUGAGCUUUGGGGUGUAAGAAAAAUCCCUAAAUCUGGAUUGAGUCUCAGAGCCCAGCCUUAAACAUUCUCUGGUGGCUUUGUCUCCCUAUCCCCGCCCAUUUCUUUCUUCUUAGGGUAGGGGUAUUUCAAUAACAGAACAUCAAAGUGGCACUGUGUUGAGGCCUACCACGCAGAUCUUACCUCAGUUUACAGCAAUGGCACCGUCACGCGGAAUGUCUUUGGGAAGGAAAGGGAGCUGUGUGUGGGAGGCAGGUACUGACACCGUCUUCAGAUCUUCCUUCCUAUAUCCCUGUCCAGGAAAUCUGGGUGGAUGAGCCAUGUGUGGUAACGUUUUUUUUUUAACCCUUUGGCCACCGUUCCCAGGGCAACUGCAUGGCGGCAGCAUCCUGCGCCCACUGAGGAGCAGGAAAGCCAGGAGUAGCUGUCAGUUUGUACUCAGGUACACAUCAGCUUCAUGUCUCCUAAAGGUGCUUAGAGGCUCAGGAACACUGUCUGUUUCAGUACAAAAAGUCGCUAGACAGUAUGGAGAGGAUUUCUAACAACAGGACUUUGCUAACUGUCUGUGGUUGAGCAUAGACAUUUUUCUACUUACUGUUGGAGAUACUCUGAAAAUAUAUUUUUUUUCCUGUGUUGGUUAAGUAUAGUACCUUUUGCAAAAAUUGCUUGGUGAUUAAAAUUAUUUUAGCAUCUUGGGUCAUAUUUUUAAUCCUUAACAGGUUAAGGGUCUAAGAAUGCUGCAAAUAGUUCAUUUAAA
This 1419-nucleotide long non-coding RNA is filed under the name Rattus norvegicus (Norway rat). RNAcentral's name for it is "long non-coding RNA NONRATT028937". Lineage: Eukaryota; Metazoa; Chordata; Mammalia; Rodentia; Muridae. The record is from RNAcentral.